GCAAGUCAGGCAGUACUACAUUAGGAGAGAAUUCAAUAUUUGACUCAUUUCUGAUUGCCUUUCUUUGUGUAUCAAUGCUGAUCUUGGUUUUUGCUGUAAUGAUCAAAUUAGUACAGAUUCAUGUACUGUUAUCAUCAGUUCUUUAGAAUUACACAGUAAUACUUCAUGCAGACCUGAAUCCAGCUCUAUAGUGUUUUGAGCUCCCAGCAAGUUCAUGGACCUGCAUAUGGAGUUUGCUCAUGAAGUUCUCCUUUUAUCAAGAGAUGUUGAGCUCAAUCCUGGGCCCAUAGCAGCUAUGCAUUAUUAUACUGUAAAUGUUCAAAUAAAAAUCGGGCUUGAAUAAACGCCUGGUACUAAUAAUCUCCAAGUACAUGUAUAUUUACGCAUAUUCUACUCAAUAUAGGUACCAUAGACUUUAGAGUGUCCCAAAUGGUCUAACUUGUUAAACUAAUAACUUGUUAAGCUCAGUUCAAUAAACUUGGAGUCCCAAGUUCAAAUCCCCCUUUAUUUUUUUUUACGCAAUUUUUUUGUCCUGCAAAGAAAUAAACAUCCGGGCUUUUAUUUGAACAUUUACGGUAGACUCAUUCUAGUAAACUACAUAACUGAUGUCGUUGCUGAUAAUUUUUUAAGUGUCACUAAUGAGCUUUUUGCUGUCCAGCUAAUACCAAACAAGGAAGGAUAUCAAGAGAACAUUCAUGGGUGUGCCUGAUUAUAAUAAGAAUUUGACUGACAUCUGUCAUGUCUUAUACAGCAGCAAAACCGGUCACUUAUUGACUUUGCUACAUGUGUACUUCUAUAUUAUACCAACUUGCUUUUACGUCAGGUUAAUUAUCACAGCUGGUGGAUAAUUCUGAACCAAUGGAGAGAGAAAUGAUAUCAGUGUAGAAUGUUUGAGCCGAUUCUCACUUAAUUUUUAAACGUUAUGACGGUCUCAUCCCUGUACUUCUAGUCAGUUGUUUCAUUUUGGUUGGAUACUCUACAUUCACAUUAAAAGUUAGUUUUAUAAUUUCAAAUGUCAUUCAUCCUUUUUGAAACAAUGACAAGAAAAUAGGAAUAAACUUAGAUGUUACUCAACUAAAC
Molecule: long non-coding RNA, 1080 nt
Organism: Amphimedon queenslandica
Lineage: Eukaryota; Metazoa; Porifera; Demospongiae; Haplosclerida; Niphatidae
Exons: 4
Source: RefSeq, a predicted model, not a curated record